GCGUUUACAACAAUGCCUUAUAUAUAAUGGAAAUUUUCCACCAGUAAAUACCAAUUAUUGAUGUUCAACAAUCUGGCUCCAUGCUAUCUAAUGUCCGCAACAAAAUAUUCUCAUCUACCUCUCCCUCAGCUCACGUUCAAACUCAAGCAACUUUUCACGGAUUGGUGCCAAAAAAGACGACCUCACAUCUUUCACAAUCCGCAUCUUCUCCUCCGACCCAA
Molecule: unclassified non-coding RNA, 221 nt
Filed under: Hevea brasiliensis (rubber tree)
Lineage: Eukaryota; Viridiplantae; Streptophyta; Magnoliopsida; Malpighiales; Euphorbiaceae
Source: RNAcentral